This is an RNA transcript of Xenia sp. Carnegie-2017, 975 nucleotides long. RefSeq lists it as uncharacterized. The record is from RefSeq and is a predicted model, not a curated record. The transcript is spliced from 5 exons. NCBI's taxonomy places the organism in Eukaryota, Metazoa, Cnidaria, Anthozoa, Malacalcyonacea, Xeniidae.
GAAAGCUCUCUGUAUUUAUCAUUUUAAACUUGCUUAAUAAAUAACGUGAUGGAUACGAAUGAUUCAUACGAAUUUUCAAGUGAUCACCCUGUUGUGAGUGAUACAUUUCCGGAAAAUGAGCAAAUAAUGGCGUACGAAAACAUGAUUCAGCCUUACUCAUAUGAACCAUUUGAAACCGACUCGAGUAGCGACGCCGAAGACGAUUCGCAAGGAACGAGUGCUGAGUCAUCAAUUGAAUCUGGCUCAAAUAGACUUCAAGAUAAGUACUGGUGUACAUGCGGUCAUUGUCAAAUAAUGGACAGACAUGAAGAAUGUAUAUGUUGCAAAGAGAUUGCUGCUUGCAGGGAUAUUAAUGAAGAGUCAGCUGAAUUCGAGGGUAUUGAUGUUCCAGAAUGUAUCACUGACAACCCUGUAUUCCAAAAUUUAUGUUUAAAUUACUGGGUAUUGAGAUUGGCGUGGAGUCAAUACAAGCAGCAGUAUGGGAAAAGUGCUUUUGAAGGACCAGAGCAUAAGAGGCAAAGGCAUGUUGCUUACAGACAAUUUGUAAGAUGGUGUUGGGGAAUUUUGGGAAAAGAAAUAAGGAAUCCUUUGCCAUCUUGUGCUGUUUGUUGUAUUCGGGCACAUUUCCCUCCACCUGGUCUAGAAGAAGAUUUUGUAUUUAAAGGUUUUGAAUUUGCUGAUGAGUGAUGCAGUGUUUGAAUUAUGAUCAAUCACAGCCAAUUGGGUUCUUGCAACCAUGCCAUUGUAUGAAAAAUGAAGGCGUUUUGGAACAUAUUUCAAUAGUAAUGAAUGGUACACUUCCAGGUUGCCAGUGUGAUGGAAUUCUAAUAUCAGCGUUUCCUUCACAUGUUUGCGCACACCACCACAGAUGGUUCGACACUGACUGAAUCCACUUUUGAAGGGAAGCAUGUUUUUUUGCUUUUUUGCUCUGAUGUUAUUUGGAUGUGGCGAUCUGUGGUCAAUGAUCUAAUUUGG